Molecule: ribosomal RNA, 517 nt
Filed under: uncultured bacterium
Lineage: Bacteria
Description: partial 16S ribosomal RNA
Rfam family: Bacterial small subunit ribosomal RNA
Source: RNAcentral
GACGAACGCUGGCGGCGUGCUUAACACAUGCAAGUCGAACGGAGAAUUUAUUUCGGUAAAUUCUUAGUGGCGAACGGGUGAGUAACGCGUGGGCAACCUGCCCUUCAGAUGGGGACAACAUCCCGAAAGGGGUGCUAAUACCGAAUACGAUCACGCUGCCGCAUGGCGGUGGGAUGAAAGAUGGCCUCUAUUUAUAAGCUAUCGCUGAAGGAUGGCCUGCGUCUGAUUAGCUAGUUGGUGGGGUAACGGCCUACCAAGGCGAUGAUCAGUAGCCGGUCUGAGAGGAUGAACGGCCACAUUGGGACUGAGACACGGCCCAAACUCCUACGGGAGGCAGCAGUGGGGAAUAUUCCGCAAUGGACGAAAGUCUGACGGAGCAACGCCGCGUGAGUGAUGAAGGUUUUCGGACUGUAAAACUCUGUUGUUUAGGACGAAAGUGCCUGUUGCAAAUAGUUGCAGGUAUUGACGGUACUGAACGAGGAAGCCACGGCUAACUACGUGCCAGCCGCCGCGGUAA